AAGUCGAGCGAGAACUUCGGUUCUAGCGGCAAACGGCGCAGUAAUACGUAAGCAACGUGCCCCCAAGACUGGGACAGUCCGGGGAAACCCGGUUGAAUACCAGAUGUGGCCGCUCUUCUGCCUGGAAGAGCGAUUAAAGGACUUCGGUCGCUUAGGGAGCGGCUUACGACCUAUCAGGUAGUUGGUGAGGUAACGGCUCACCAAGCCUACGACGGGUAGCGGGUCUGAGAGGAUGAUCCGCGCGAGUGGGACUGAGACACGGCCCACACACCUACGGGUGGCAGCAGUUUGGAAUAUUGCACAAUGGGGGAAACCCUGAUGCAGCGACGCCGCGUGGGGGAUGACGGAUUUCGGUCUGUAAACCCCUUUUGCCAGGAAAGACUUAGGACGGUACCUGGCGAAUAAGCCCCGGCUAACUACGUGCCAGCAGCCGCGGUAAUACGUAGGGGGCAAGCGUUGUCCGGAUUUACUGGGCGUAAAGGGCGCGCAGGCGGCCUGUUAAGUGUGAAGUGAAAUCUCCUGGCUCAACCAGGAAAUUGCUUUGCAUACUGGCAGGCUAGAGAAAGGCAGAGGUAGAUGGAAUUCCCGGUGUAGCGGUGACAUGCGUUGAUAUCGGGAGGAACGCCAAUGGCGAAGGCAGUCUACUGGGCCUCUUCUGACGCUCAGGCGCGAAAGCGUGGGUAGCAAACAGGAUUAGAUACCCUGGUAGUCCACGCCCUAAACGAUGGAUACUAGGCGUUAGGGGUAUCGACCCCCUUAGUGCCGCAGCAAACGCGAUAAGUAUCCCGCCUGGGGACUACGGGCGCAAGGCUGAAACUCAAAUGAAUUGACGGGGACCCGCACGAGCGCUGGAACAGGUGGAUUAAUUCGAUACUAACCGAAGAGCCUCACCCAGACUUGACCUCGAGGGGCCGGCGAUGAACAGGCGCCAAAGUUUUCUUAAACCCCNAAGAAGGGACACAAGAAACCGGGCAGUCGGUCAGCUCCAGCCGCGCCAGGAAGUGGUCACGUCCACCAACGCGAGCAACCCUCGUUCUCUCUUGACAACAGGGCAACCUGAGUACUGCAUAGGACACCGCCGGCGCAAGCCGGAGGAGGAUGAACACGACAUCAAGAUCAGCAUGACGGUACAGUCGGGGGCUUCACACAUGCUACAAUGGAUGCAACAAAGGGGAGCGAGACCGUGAGGUUUAGCGAAUCCCAAAAAUACAUCCUCAGUUCGGA
Molecule: ribosomal RNA, 1224 nt
Filed under: uncultured organism
Description: partial 16S ribosomal RNA
Rfam family: Bacterial small subunit ribosomal RNA
Source: RNAcentral